Molecule: long non-coding RNA, 990 nt
Filed under: Physcomitrium patens
Lineage: Eukaryota; Viridiplantae; Streptophyta; Bryopsida; Funariales; Funariaceae
Description: long non-coding RNA (PPAT_LNC013996)
Source: RNAcentral
ACAACAGUUAAUAUUUAGCCCUUGAAGGUUAAUAAUGGAACAUGGCAUGAUUUCAAAUACCACUUUGAAUCAAAAUUUUCUGUUUGAUUGCAAUUUCAAUUGUCACUAAAAGUUAAGGUCAAUAAGCGGAACCUUUUAUGUACCUGAUUCAUAUGUUCAGAUAGAUGGUGUUAAGAUAUAAAUCUUAAAAGAUACAAAUUUUCAAUCUAACAAUCAUUUGAAAUUGCGUAUUAUUUUUUGAGAAUUCUUAUCGAAAUUUAAUAUUCACUGACCCGCUCACUUUAUCUUUUGAAGAAAACUGUGCAAGCAAAUUGUUAUAGCUCCUUUAUAGCCUGUCAAUUUUACGUUGUAAUUCUUCAAUCCUUGGAUAAUUUCUCUACAACACAUUCGCUUAACCAAAAACAGUCUAAAAAACACAAAUUAUCUCCCCAUUUAUUCAAUAUCGAGAAGUUCUAUUCACAAUUUGUAUGUUUUGGUUUUUUAAACAAAAUCGUGAAACAAAACACUGGGUUAGUAAUGGAAUGCUCACUCACUCAAAAUUCUACCACAGAACAUUCAUCCGCGUGGCAUGUUUCUAUUGCAUACCUGGUUCGAGGAUUUAAGGAUUUGCAUCAUCGGAAACUGCGGCGAGGUGGGCGGACACGACGAGGCCAAAUUUUCAAAUGCCGUUGAUCGCAGAAGAGGAAGUCCAUUUCUUUAAUUCCUCAGUGCACGCAAUGCCAAUCAGUGAUAGGAGGUCGCUGGAACUGGCGAAGCGCGGAUCGAGCGAUCCUUCUUAACAAGUGCCCAGCUGAGAAUCUGCGACCUAUUUCGGAGACUGAGGUUUUGUUCCGCCCCCGAAUGGAAGUGUCGCAGACGACACUUGGAUCAGAUUCGAACGAGACGACGACGACGACCUCAGCAACGAGUCCUAUUUCGUAGCCUUGUCGCAGCAGUCGGACACAGCAUUCGCAUAACUGUACAUUAUAGCGAACUCAAACAUCCCACUCA